GGGGAUAUAGCUCAGUUGGUUGAGUUUGUGCCUCACAUGUACAAGGCCCUGGGUUCAAUUCCCAGAACCACCA
RNAcentral lists this transfer RNA (73 nucleotides) under Marmota monax (woodchuck). It matches the Rfam family "tRNA". Rfam says of the family: Transfer RNA (tRNA) molecules are approximately 80 nucleotides in length. Their secondary structure includes four short double-helical elements and three loops (D, anti-codon, and T loops). Lineage: Eukaryota; Metazoa; Chordata; Mammalia; Rodentia; Sciuridae. The record is from Rfam by way of RNAcentral.